This 424-nucleotide ribosomal RNA is filed under the name Verrucomicrobiota bacterium. RNAcentral's name for it is "Verrucomicrobia bacterium partial 16S ribosomal RNA". It matches the Rfam family "Bacterial small subunit ribosomal RNA", at positions 355 to 776 of the family's 1533-position model. The record is from RNAcentral. Lineage: Bacteria; Pseudomonadati; Verrucomicrobiota.
UGAGGAAUAUUGGUCAAUGGACGAGAGUCUGAACCAGCCAAGUAGCGUGCAGGAUGACGGCCCUAUGGGUUGUAAACUGCUUUUGUUUGGGAAUAAUCGACAUUACGUGUAAUGUUUUGCAUGUACCAUUCGAAUAAGGACCGGCUAAUUCCGUGCCAGCAGCCGCGGUAAUACGGAAGGUCCAGGCGUUAUCCGGAUUUAUUGGGUUUAAAGGGAGUGUAGGCGGUUGGUUAAGCGUGUUGUGAAAUGUAGAUGCUCAACAUCUGGCUUGCAGCGCGAACUGGCUGACUUGAGUACACACAACGUAGGCGGAAUUCAUGGUGUAGCGGUGAAAUGCUUAGAUAUCAUGAAGAACUCCGAUUGCGAAGGCAGCUUACGGGAGUGUUACUGACGCUUAAGCUCGAAGGUGUGGGUAUCGAACAGG